This 497-nucleotide ribosomal RNA is filed under the name uncultured bacterium. RNAcentral's name for it is "partial 16S ribosomal RNA". It matches the Rfam family "Bacterial small subunit ribosomal RNA", at positions 28 to 507 of the family's 1533-position model. The record is from RNAcentral.
GAUGAACGCUGGCGGCGUGCCUAAUACAUGCAAGUCGAGCGAACAGACGAGGAGCUUGCUCCUCUGACGUUAGCGGCGGACGGGUGAGUAACACGUGGAUAACCUACCUAUAGGACUGGGAUAACUUCGGGAAACCGGAGCUAAUACCGGAUAAUAUAUUGAACCGCAUGGUUCAAUAGUGAAAGACGGUUUUGCUGUCACUUAUAGAUGGAUCCGCGCCGCAUUAGCUAGUUGGUAAGGUAACGGCUUACCAAGGCAACGAUGCGUAGCCGACCCGAGAGGGUGAUCGGCCACACUGGAACUGAGACACGGUCCAGACUCCUACGGGAGGCAGCAGUAGGGAAUCUUCCGCAAUGGGCGAAAGCCUGACGGAGCAACGCCGCGUGAGUGAUGAAGGUCUUCGGAUCGUAAAACUCUGUUAUUAGGGAAGAACAAAUGUGUAAGUAACUAUGCACGUCUUGACGGUACCUAAUCAGAAAGCCACGGCUAACUACGUG